GAAUAUAUUUUUGAUUCAGGUGCUGAUAAGCGCCCAGCUUAUUUGCUUAAAAGGGAAAUCGGUGAUAAUCCGAUGCUGUCCCGCAACUGUAUUUGGGAGCGAACUGGAAGACCACUUUUCUCGGGGGGUAACGAGAAUGGGAAGGAUCCAGCAAGCGAUGAUCAUAAGCCAGGAGACCUGCCUGUUUCAGCGAGCAUCA
RNAcentral lists this non-coding RNA (199 nucleotides) under Halobacillus karajensis. Lineage: Bacteria; Bacillati; Bacillota; Bacilli; Caryophanales; Bacillaceae. The record is from RNAcentral.